GAUGAACGCUGGCGGCGUGCCUAAUACAUGCAAGUCGAGCGAACGGACGAGAAGCUUGCUUCUCUGAUGUUAGCGGCGGACGGGUGAGUAACACGUGGAUAACCUACCUAUAAGACUGGGAUAACUUCGGGAAACCGGAGCUAAUACCGGAUGAUAUUUUGAACCGCAUGGUUCAAAAGUGAAAGACGGUCUUGCUGUCACUUAUAGAUGGAUCCGCGCUGCAUUAGCUAGUUGGUAAGGUAACGGCUUACCAAGGCAACGAUGCAUAGCCGACCUGAGAGGGUGAUCGGCCACACUGGAGCUGAGACACGGUCCAGACUCCUACGGGAGGCAGCAGUAGGGAAUCUGCCGCAAUGGUCGAAAGCCUGACGGAGCAACGCCGCGUGAGUGAUGAAGGCCUUCGGAUCGUAAAGCUCUGUUAUUAGGGAAGAACAUAUGUGUAAGUAACUGUGCACAUCUUGACGGUACCUAAUCAGAAAGCCACGGCUAACUACGUG
This 497-nucleotide ribosomal RNA is filed under the name uncultured bacterium. Its description in RNAcentral is "partial 16S ribosomal RNA". It matches the Rfam family "Bacterial small subunit ribosomal RNA", at positions 28 to 507 of the family's 1533-position model. The record is from RNAcentral.